RNAcentral lists this ribosomal RNA (253 nucleotides) under uncultured bacterium. Its description in RNAcentral is "partial 16S ribosomal RNA". It matches the Rfam family "Bacterial small subunit ribosomal RNA", at positions 524 to 776 of the family's 1533-position model. RNAcentral also lists the same sequence under 1 other name. The record is from RNAcentral.
UACGGAGGGUGCGAGCGUUAAUCGGAAUUACUGGGCGUAAAGCGUGCGUAGGCGGCCUGUUAAGUCAGAUGUGAAAGCCCUGGGCUCAACCUGGGAACGGCAUUUGAAACUGGCAAGCUAGAGUUAGGUAGAGGGAAGUGGAAUUUCAGGUGUAGCGGUGAAAUGCGUAGAUAUCUGAAGGAACACCAGUGGCGAAGGCGGCUUCCUGGACCCAAACUGACGCUGAGGUACGAAAGCGUGGGUAGCAAACAGG